This 497-nucleotide ribosomal RNA is filed under the name uncultured bacterium. RNAcentral describes it as "partial 16S ribosomal RNA". It matches the Rfam family "Bacterial small subunit ribosomal RNA", at positions 28 to 507 of the family's 1533-position model. The record is from RNAcentral.
GAUGAACGCUGGCGGCGUGCCUAAUACAUGCAAGUCGAGCGAACAGACGAGGAGCUUGCUCCUCUGACGUUAGCGGCGGACGGGUGAGUAACACGUGGAUAACCUACCUAUAAGACUGGGAUAACUUCGGGAAACCGGAGCUAAUACCGGAUAAUAUAUUGAACCGCAUGGUUCAAUAGCGAAAGACGGUUUUGCUGUCACUUAUAGAUGGAUCCGCGCCGCAUUAGCUAGUUGGUAAGGUAACGGCUUACCAAGGCAACGAUGCGUAGCCGACCUGAGAGGGUGAUCGGCCACACUGGAACUGAGACACGGUCCAGACUCCUACGGGAGGCAGCAGUAGGGAAUCUUCCGCAAUGGGCGAAAGCCUGACGGAGCAACGCCGCGUGAGUGAUGAAGGUCUUCGGAUCGUAAAACUCUGUUAUUAGGAAAGAACAAAUGUGUAAGUAACUGUGCACGUCUUGACGGUACCUAAUCAGAAAGCCACGGCUAACUACGUG